UACGGAGGAUGCGAGCGUUAUCCGGAUUUAUUGGGUUUAAAGGGUGCGUAGGCGGCUUUUUAAGUCAGCGGUGAAAUUUUGCAGCUUAACUGUAACAGUGCCGUUGAUACUGCCAGGCUAGGAUUUGGUUGCUGUGGGUGGAAUGUGUGGUGUAGCGGUGAAAUGCUUAGAUAUCACACAGAAUAUCGAUUGCGAAGGCAGCUCACAAAGCCAAGAUUGACGCUGAGGCACGAAAGUGUGGGGAGUCAAACAGGA
This 255-nucleotide ribosomal RNA is filed under the name uncultured prokaryote. RNAcentral's name for it is "partial 16S ribosomal RNA". It matches the Rfam family "Bacterial small subunit ribosomal RNA", at positions 524 to 777 of the family's 1533-position model. The record is from RNAcentral.